Molecule: long non-coding RNA, 6078 nt
Filed under: Physcomitrium patens
Lineage: Eukaryota; Viridiplantae; Streptophyta; Bryopsida; Funariales; Funariaceae
Description: long non-coding RNA (PPAT_LNC002958)
Source: RNAcentral
AAAGAUUCUCUAAAGAUUCCUUUAGAAGGUUCUAGAAGAUUCUUAGAAUAUUCCCUAAAGAUUCUCUUAGAAGGUUCUAGAAUAUUCUUAGAAGGUUCUAGAAUAUUCUGAUAGAUUCUAGGAAGUUGCUCGAGAAGUUUCCUAAUUAGUAGAAGUUGUUGGAGAAGCAUCCUAGUUAGCGGAAGUAGCUCGAGAAGCUUCCUAUUCAGUAGUAUAUAUAGGAGUCGAGGCUGAAGGAUUCUUCAGUCUCGACAACACAUCUCUUGGAGUUCUAGCUCACCUUUCUGGUGUUGUUCUUGUACUCAUCUGUUUAAUCUAGUUCUGCCACUUCUUCUUGAAAUUCUUGUUAGAUUUCAAGUCUGUAUUUUGUGUCCGUGACAGUUUGUCGAGACUCCAUUUUCACUGGUAUCAGAGCUAGUUCCUUCUUGUUAGAGAGUGGAUUACCCCUCAUCUUGAAGGUGUGCUAGUGUUUUAGAGGUUGCGGAUUACCCUCCUCUAAACUGAUAUCUCUUCUUUCUCAAUAUUGGAGCCUUAUUCUUCUUGGAGAGAGUGGAUUAUCCCUCAUCUUGGAGUCUUAAGGCGUUUUAGAGGUUGCGGAGUACUCUCCUCUGAACCAAUAUUGUCCUCUUGUCAAAACUCUUUUUUCUUCUUUCUGAAGGUUAGCCGAAGGUUAAGACGUUAAAAUGGCUGAAAGUUUGGAAUCCAAACUAGACGCCAUCAUAAAUGCUCUUGCCUCGUUGUCACAUAGGACAACAGAGAUCGAAGGAGUCAUGGUAGGACUCCAUAACAAUGGAGCAUCUGGGAUAGCGCCAUCUAAAGCAUAUCAGCCUCAAACUUUUGCGCCAGAAGAAGCAGUUCUACCUCCAUUUCAACAAGAUCGAGUAGUCCUACAACGAAAGGAGCCUCGAGUUAGUCUUCCGGAUAAGUUUGAUGGAACUCGUUCCAAGUUUCGAGGUUUUGUCAACCAAAUCAGGUUGAUAACAAUUUUACAGCCCGAACGUUAUCCGACGGAGGAAGCGCGUGUUGGGCUUGUUGGAACCUUGCUUACAACACAAGCUCUGUCUUGGUUUACUCCCUUGUUCGAGAAGCGAUCGCCAAUCCUGAGCAACUUUGAAAUGUUCUUGGAGGCGUUUGCAGAAGCAUUUGGCGAGCAUGAUAAAGUUCGAUGGGCUACAACAAAGAUCCGAUCGCUACGACAAGGAACACGCUCUGCAUCAGUCUAUGCCUCGGAUUUCAGACAAUUGGCAAGUGACAUUAAUUGGGGUGAAGAGGCGUUGGUGAGUCAGUUUUAUUGGGGCUUGAAGGAUGAUGUGAAGGACUUGCUGUUAUUUCUUCCUGAUCCUCAAACGCUCAACGAAGCUAUUAGCCAAGCUAUAAAGUGUGACAACCGCCUAUUCCAGCGUCGCCAAGACCAAUGUCCAAGACACCAAAUGACUCGUUACGACGUGGCUAUGUCUGCAAAUAGCUUAAACUCACAUUCGGAGGCAACAGACAUGCAAAUCGACACGGCGCGUGUCCGAUCUCUUACUCCAACAGAGAAGAAACGGCGUAUGGAGGAAAGGUUAUGUUUGUACUGUGGAGAAGAAGGUCACAAGGUUGGAAAUUGCCCAAAGAAGCAAAAUUGGCACCCUGUCAAGACUAGAAGUGCGAUGAUUCCGGAAAACGACGACGCCCAGCCACAGUAGGAACCGUGGGGCUGGACAAUCUAAUAUCACGACAACAAUCAGGUUCCUCCUUCUCUGUCCAACCUGCCCGUUGUUUUACAAUUCUUUUGUUUUUAGGCCCUCAAAAACAAAAAACUUUAGCUUUAUUGGAUUCGGGGGCAUCUACUUGUUUUUUAGAUGAAGAGUUUGCUAAACGCCACAAGAUCUGUUUAGUACAGAAGUCCAAACCUGUUCACGUAGAGGUGAUAGAUGGACGACCCUUAUUGUCAGGCAACGUUACCCACGAAUCAGAACCUAUAGAAGUGGUGUUUAAGGACCAUAGUAGUCACGUUAUUUUUAAUAUUAUUAGAACCCCAUCAAGCCCUGUUAUCCUUGGUCUUUCUUGGUUAGAAGAUCAUAAUCCGUCCAUUGAUUGGAGGCUACGAAGGAUAACAUUUCCUGAAAAAAAUAAUAAUAAACCUGUUGGUAGAACCUACAUGAAGAAAUCCAUGUUUAUUGGAGCGAGAGCGUUCCUAAGAUCGUCCAAGGAAGGCACACCAUUUGUCAUUUAUGCAGCUCCAACUAGCGGCGAGAAUAUCUCAACAUCGAAUAUACCAGAGCAAUAUAGGGAUUUUGAAGACGUGUUUCAGAAGAAGAACGCCGAUAUACUGCCGGAACAUCGACCAUAUGAUUGCGCCAUAGACUUAGAGGAAGGAGCGCAACCACCUUUUGUUCCAAUAUACAACCUAUCGCAGACGGAGUUGGCAGAAUUGCGGAAGUACAUCGAUGAGAAUCUAGCCAAGAAUUUUAUUCGACAUUCAAAGUCGCCAGCUGGAGCACCAAUCCUAUUCGUGAAGAAAAAGGAUGGCUCACUGCGGAUGUGCGUGGACUACCGAGGACUCAACAAGGUGACCAAGAAAAAUCGCUAUCCCUUACCUUUGAUCUCCGGCCUCUUAGAUCAACUUGGAUGUGCAAGGAUUUUUACAAAGAUUGAUUUAAGAGGAGCCUACAACCUUGUGCGAAUCAAAGAAGGAGAUGAAUGGAAGACAGCCUUUCGUACAAGGUAUGGCCAUUUUGAGUACAAUGUCAUGCCUUUUGGUCUUACCAAUGCUCUAGCGGUCUUUCAGCAUAUGAUGAACGACAUCUUUCGGGAGUACCUCGAUGACUUUGUUGUCAUCUAUCUGGAUGAUAUUUUGAUAUUUUCCAAGAAUGAAGAAGAACAUGAGAAGCACGUUUGUUUGGUUCUUGAAAAACUACGCGAACGAGGACUCUACGCCAAGUUGGAGAAGUGUCAAUUUCACCAGAAUGAGAUGGAAUUUUUGGGCUUCAUUGCGACUACAGAGGGCUUGAAGAUGGAUCCAAAAAAGGUAGAAGCAAUUAUAUCUUGGGAAGUUUCGAAGACGGUUAGAGAUGUUCAGUGUUUUCUUGGAUUUGCUAACUUCUAUCGGAUCUUCAUCAAGAAUUAUUCUCAAGUUGCUGCACCACUCACGCGUCUAACAAGCAAAGACAAGCUCGAAUGGGGAUCACAAGCAGCAAAAGCAUUUCAAGAUCUCAAGACGGCAUUCACUACGGCUCCAAUCUUGGUACACCCUGACUUUGCAAAGGCUUUCUAUUUAGAGACCGAUGCUUCAGAUUUUGCUUUGGGAGCUGUGCUUUCACAGAUGGGCAUAGACAAGAAGCUUCACCCAGUUGCGUUCUAUUCACGAAAGUUCUCUGCUGCUGAGAUCAACUACGAGAUCCACGACAAAGAGCUGCUUGCUAUAGUGGAUGCCUUCCAAGAGUGGCGUCACUUCCUCGAAGGAGCUGCACAUCCAGUGACUGUUUAUACAGACCACAAGAAUUUGGAGUACUUCAUGACAGCUCGAAUUUUGAAUCGUCGUCAAGUUCGAUGGAAUAUGUCUCUAUCACGAUUUGACUUUAUUAUCACCUACCGCCUUGGAAAACAGCAAGGAUUAUCUGACGCAUUAACGAGGAGAUCGUAUCUUGCGCCAAAGGCUGGAGAAGCAGCGUUUGAUCAACAAUGUACAACAUUGUUGAAACCAGAAAAAUUCAGGAUUUUUGCUACUGUUGCAACUAUCGAUGGUGGCUUCCUCAGCGAGGUACGUACUGCGACCAUUGAGGAUUCUAUAGCUCUUGACAUCAAACAACGUGUCGAUAAUGACAAGUUUAAGGUGGAGGGAGAUCUUCUGUAUUUUGAGGAGCGGUUGUAUAUCCCGAAAGGACUAACUCGUCUCCGAGUACUUCAAUCUCGCCACGACUUUCCAGCUGCGGGACAUUUUGGAUUCAACAAGACUUUGGAGCUCAUUUCACGAGAUUUUUGGUGGCCCCAAAUGUGGAAGGAUGUGAAGGAAUUUGUCCUUUCUUGUGAUGUUUGUUCAAGAUCCAAGAUCCCUCGACAUCGUCCGUAUGGACUUCUCCAGCCAUUGCCUAUUCCGCACCGACCAUGGUCUUCAGUUUCUAUGGACUUCAUUACGGACCUACCGCCAUCGAAUUCAUUUGACAGCAUCUUUGUUGUGGUGGAUCGAUUUACAAAGAUGGCACAUUUCGUGCCUUGCAAGAAAACAUCGUCAAGUGAAGACACCGCAAGACUCUUUCUUGAUAACAUAUAUCGUUAUCAUGGCCUACCAGAUGAUAUCAUGUCGGAUCGAGGUACUCAGUUUGUAUCCAAGUUUUGGAGGUCUCUCUUUGAGAUAUUGAAGGUGGAUAUUAAGCUCUCUUCGGCUUUUCAUCCUCAAACUGACGGUCAAAUGAUGCGGGUGAAUUAAGUUUUGGAGCAAUAUUUACGAUGCAGCAUCAACUAUCAACAAGAUGAUUGGACUGCAUAUCUAUCGCUUGCUGAGUUCGCAUACAACAACACUCUUUAUGCGUCAACUCAACAAACACCAUUCUUCUCCAACUACGGAUACUACUCCAAGCUCGAUUUAUUGAGUUCUUCAGCAAAUAACAACCCAGCAGCUGAAGGAUUUGUGAAGCAACUAUCGGAGCUUCAAGCGACGUUGAAGCUUCAAUUGCAAUCUGCCCAAGAGAGUUACAAGGCAUCUGUAGAUAAAUAUCGAAAUGAGGCGCCUACUUUUAAAGUUGGAAGUAAAGUAUGGCUUCUUCGAAGGAAUAUCAAGACCAAGCGGCCAUGUGACAAAUUGGACUAUCGGAGAUUAGGGCCAUUUAUUAUCGAGAAGCAGAUCAAUCCGGUGGCAUAUCGUCUGGAGUUACCAGCUGCUAUGAAGGUACAUCCAGUCUUUCAUGUGUCUUUGUUGGAACCUUAUCGAGAGUCAGCUUUUCCCCAAAGAGUACAAAGUCCGCCACCAAGUAUCGAAAUUGAAAACCAUGAGGAAUACGAGGUGGAAAAGGUAUUAGAUUCACGGCGUAAUAGGAGAAAAUUGGAGUAUUUAGUGCAUUUGAGUGGAUACGACAUCAAUGAACGAACGUGGGAGCGUGCCGAAAAUCUUGCCAAUGCACCAAAAAAGGUACAAGAAUUUCAUCAACGAUAUCCUCAUAAACCUAAGCCGAUUCAACGAUAGCUUCUUGCUGAAGCUUGCUCAUCAAGUAGCAUAAAAAGAGGGGAGGGCACCUCCAAAACCCAUAGUUCGAUAGUGUAGAACUUUGUUAGCAACUAUAGUUUGCUCUCAUUAUUUUAGCCUUUGGACAUGGAUAGUCAAGAUACUACACUUGUUAUGUCAUCUCAAGCGACUAGCUCACGAAGACGACCGCGAGAUGAAGAACCGCCUGCACCACGACGACGUCGGAGGAUACUGAGCAACAGAUCGCUAGUAAUUGUAUUUGAGGUCGAGCCUGCCUACGACGGUCAGCCAGAAGGUGUGUUUGGAGGACAGUUUCACAAUGAAGAUACAGAAGUCCACGCUUGGUCAGAGGUUGAAGGUGUUGGUCACUACCGUUGGCUCCAAGGGCCGAUGAAUCAUUUGCCUCGCAAACAACAAUUGGAAUUCAUAGCGGAUGUGAUGCGACAGAUUUUCAUUUUCUUGCGUUGGUAUUGACUGAUAACAACAUUGCUUCUCGGAGACCUCGAAGUUAGAAGAGGAGGUGAUGUCAUGGACAUACAUUGGAAGAUUCUUCGAAUAUUCUUCUAGAAUAUUCUCUAAAGAUUCUCUAAAGAUUCCUUUAGAAGGUUCUAGAAGAUUCUUAGAAUAUUCCCUAAAGAUUCUCUUAGAAGGUUCUAGAAUAUUCUUAGAAGGUUCUAGAAUAUUCUGAUAGAUUCUAGGAAGUUGCUCGAGAAGUUUUCUAAUUAGUAGAAGUUGUUGGAGAAGCGUCCUAGUUAGCGGAAGUAGCUCGAGAAGCUUCCUAUUCAGUAGUAUAUAUAGGAGUCGAGGCUGAAGGGUUCUUCAGUCUCGACAACACAUCUCUUGGAGUUCUAGCUCACCUUUCUGGUGUUGUUCUUGUACUCAUCUGUUUAAUCUAGUUCUGCCACUUCUUCUUGAAC